GACGAACGCUGGCGGCGUGCUUAACACAUGCAAGUCGAACGGAAAGACCCUGCUUUUGUGGGGUGCUCGAGUGGCGAACGGGUGAGUAACACGUGAGUAACCUGCCCUUGACUUUGGGAUAACUUCAGGAAACUGGGGCUAAUACCGGCUAGGAGCUCCUGCUGCAUGGUGGGGGUUGGAAAGUUUCGGCGGUUGGGGAUGGACUCGCGGCUUAUCAGCUUGUUGGUGGGGUAGUGGCUUACCAAGGCUUUGACGGGUAGCCGGCCUGAGAGGGUGAUCGGCCACAUUGGGACUGAGAUACGGCCCAGACUCCUACGGGGGACAGCAGUGGGGAAUAUUGCACAAUGGGCGGAAGCCUGAUGCAGCAACGCCGCGUGCGGGAUGACGGCCUUCGGGUUGUAAACCGCUUUCGCCUGUGACGAAGCGUGAGUGACGGUAAUGGGUAAAGAAGCACCGGCUAACUACGUG
This 468-nucleotide ribosomal RNA is filed under the name uncultured bacterium. Its description in RNAcentral is "partial 16S ribosomal RNA". It matches the Rfam family "Bacterial small subunit ribosomal RNA", at positions 28 to 507 of the family's 1533-position model. The record is from RNAcentral.